UUAACUCAAAUUUGUAUGCAGUUGGAACAACGCCCCUAGCGGCAAACGUAGACAAAGAUUCCAACUCCAUACAAAUUUGUGUUA
This 84-nucleotide microRNA precursor is filed under the name Bombyx mori (domestic silkworm). Its description in RNAcentral is "mir-2807 microRNA precursor family". It matches the Rfam family "mir-2807 microRNA precursor family". The record is from Rfam by way of RNAcentral. Lineage: Eukaryota; Metazoa; Arthropoda; Insecta; Lepidoptera; Bombycidae.